UGGGGAAUUUUGGACAAUGGGCGAAAGCCUGAUCCAGCAAUGCCGCGUGUGUGAAGAAGGCCUUCGGGUUGUAAAGCACUUUUGUCCGGAAAGAAAUCCUUGGCUCUAAUACAGUCGGGGGAUGACGGUACCGGAAGAAUAAGCACCGGCUAACUACGUGCCAGCAGCCAGCGGUAAUACGUAGGGUGCAAGCGUUAAUCGGAAUUACUGGGCGUAAAGCGUGCGCAGGCGGUUUGCUAAGACCGAUGUGAAAUCCCCGGGCUCAACCUGGGAACUGCAUUGGUGACUGGCAGGCUAGAGUAUGGCAGAGGGGGGUAGAAUUCCACGUGUAGCAGUGAAAUGCGUAGAGAUGUGGAGGAAUACCGAUGGCGAAGGCAGCCCCCUGGGCCAAUACUGACGCUCAUGCACGAAAGCGUGGGGAGCAAACAGGAUUAGAUACCCUGGUAGUCCACGCCCUAAACGAUGUCAACUAGUUGUUGGGGAUUCAUUUCCUUAGUAACGUAGCUAACGCGUGAAGUUGACCGCCUGGGGAGUACGGUCGCAAGAUUAAAACUUAAAGGAAUUGACGGGGUCAUAGCUGUUUCCU
This 586-nucleotide ribosomal RNA is filed under the name uncultured bacterium. RNAcentral's name for it is "partial 16S ribosomal RNA". It matches the Rfam family "Bacterial small subunit ribosomal RNA", at positions 355 to 1375 of the family's 1533-position model. The record is from RNAcentral.